This 468-nucleotide ribosomal RNA is filed under the name uncultured bacterium. Its description in RNAcentral is "partial 16S ribosomal RNA". It matches the Rfam family "Bacterial small subunit ribosomal RNA", at positions 28 to 507 of the family's 1533-position model. The record is from RNAcentral.
GACGAACGCUGGCGGCGUGCUUAACACAUGCAAGUCGAACGGAAAGGCCCUGCUUUUGUGGGGUGCUCGAGUGGCGAACGGGUGAGUAACACGUGAGUAACCUGCCCUUGACUUUGGGAUAACUUCAGGAAACUGGGGCUAAUACCGGAUAGGAGCUCCUGCUGCAGGGUGGGGGUUGGAAAGUUUCGGCGGUUGGGGAUGGACUCGCGGCUUAUCAGCUUGUUGGUGGGGUAGUGGCUGACCAAGGCUUUGACGGGUAGCCGGCCUGAGAGGGUGACCGGCCACAUUGGGACUGCGAUACGGCCCAGCCUCCUACGGGAGGCAGCAGUGGGGAAUAUUGCACAAUGGGCGGAAGCCUGAUGCAGCAACGCCGCGUGCGGGAUGACGGCCUUCGGGUUGUAAACCGCUUUCGCCUGUGACGAAGCGUGAGUGACGGUAAUGGGUAAAGAAGCACCGGCUAACUACGUG